Molecule: ribosomal RNA, 253 nt
Filed under: uncultured bacterium
Lineage: Bacteria
Description: partial 16S ribosomal RNA
Rfam family: Bacterial small subunit ribosomal RNA
Source: RNAcentral
UACGUAGGGGGCGAGCGUUGUCCGGAAUCAUUGGGCGUAAAGCGCGCGCAGGCGGCCCCUUAAGUCUGAUGUGAAAGCCCACGGCUCAACCGUGGAGGGCCAUUGGAAACUGGGGGGCUUGAGUGCAGGAGAGGAGAGCGGAAUUCCUGGUGUAGCGGUGAAAUGCGUAGAGAUCAGGAGGAACACCGAUGGCGAAGGCAGCUCUCUGGCCUGUAACUGACGCUGAGGCGCGAAAGCGUGGGGAGCAAACAGG